Molecule: long non-coding RNA, 162 nt
Organism: Setaria italica (foxtail millet)
Lineage: Eukaryota; Viridiplantae; Streptophyta; Magnoliopsida; Poales; Poaceae
Exons: 2
Source: RefSeq, a predicted model, not a curated record
CAUUUGCUUUCUCCAUUCAUUCUGCUGUAACGCUCCCUAGUUCUUUAACAUUCCAUUGAGUACAUUUACUAGACAGGUGAAUAUCUAUACAGGUAAGGCCAGUAAAGUGGAUGCAAGGCAGAUAACCUAUGUCAACCUAAGUCACCUAGACCCAGUUUUUUU